AUUGUUGCAACACGGUUGCACUGAGAUACAAGGUUUUGCUUUGCUGUGUAUGAUAUCGAUCAUUCCAGCGAUCGGUCUACCAUUACCUGUUGCUUCCAUCUCAUUGUUAUUCUUGCUUGUUGAGUGAUUAAAGUUAUAGUUAAGAACUAUUACUUUCACUUUCCGUCAGCACAGUAUAUGAGUAUAUUACGCAGUCAUAUACGGCAUUGGCCCCUUUUAGUCAUUAAAUUAGUUUUUCGUAAAGUCGUUUAGCAACCGGUGCAUAUUUUGCGUUAUUCUUUAGCAACCAGGUUCGAUAGUAGUUAUUUUCGAUAGCAGUCUAGGAAUUAAUUUGAUUCAGUUAAUGCAGCCCCCUUAUCAUAUAAACGCUCGCAUUGUUACAUUCAACGGUGGCAACGGCAACAACAGAAGCCACUCUUACUUACGGCAGCGACCACCGCGACGGACCUACCAUUGUGGCCGGAUGGGCCACAUUCAGAGGUACGCUGCUACGAAGCCGGCAACGAGAUACUGCGACGCAAAUCUCACCCACCAACCAUUCCACCUGAGCCACCCAAAGAGGCAGCGCGCCAGUGCAGGCUCCGGUGGUGGAGGCUGCAAUUCAGGCUGGUGCAUGAGCCCCUGCCGGUGGCAGAACUAGCAGACGCACGAUGGGUCGACGAAGAAUUAAAAACCCAAGGCAAAACAUACUCAGCUUGGCAACAGCGAAACCAUCUGGCCGUUUGACUACGGGUAGGUGUAGUCACGUUCAAUUAACAAUGUUCCUUUUUCUUUAACUGUUUUACUCGGGUUUUCGAGCGCCGCACCUUUCUACGGAGAUUCGAUUGAAAGACACCAAACUGAAAAGAUGGACUGCUGACGCUGUUAAGCAGCAACAAAUAUCAAAUCAGGUUCCAUUGCCGUAACUCAAGUCUGCUUUUUUUCCCGGCCACCAAAAUCUAUUUUUAACGCACACUGAUUUUAUACUCGUAUUAAUUAUGGUUUGGAAAGGUAUCGCUUCGACGACAUAAUAAUACAUCGCAAGACUUGAUGGCUUCUUUUUCAUUUUGUGGUGAAAGCGCAUACUACAAAAAUCGAACCUAACUGCGAAUGUUUACUAUGUCUUCUGACCUCCUGGUCCUAUACCGGCAGUUGUAUAUAUGUCUGUUCCAUCUUUCAUUUCCACGACAAAUACGAUACCUCACAAGUUGCAGUAUUCGUGAAGAAGAAAACGAGAAAAGGUGUGCCUGAAAAUUCCCACGAUGGCCCAUUUCUUAAGAACAUGGAUGGUGGAGUACAAAUGGCGAAUUUGACCGACCGAGUUAACGGCUUCACACCGCCACGGCUUAGAAGCCAACAUACACAAAAACGGAUUCAUUGUGCAGUCCAGUGAGAACAGAUAAUUGACAAUAGCCAGCGUCCUCACAUCCAAAAAGCUUGCGGUCAUCAUGAAGGAAUAAAUGACAUGCCCCGGAGUCCAGAAGAGAAGCGAAUUGAUAAAAAGGAUGAAUUAUCUGCCACAACAGUGAUAUCCACGGCCCGUGUUACGGAAUGCGAGUUAUACUGUUCGGCCUUUUGGAUGGGUUGCAUAACCAUAUCAUCCCGUGUUUUUCGUAAAAUCUUCACUUUCCAAAAGACGAUGGGAUAGAUGAUUGUGACAAGCAUUUGAGGGAUCAGAUGAGUCAGAUAGCCAUACAGGCCACGAUAUAGUGUAUCGUAGCCUAAGUUAUAAAUGCAAAGAUGUGCAAGUCCGGGAGUACGGGAGCGGCAGUCGUGAUCGAGGAAAACCGGGAGGGAUAGCGCGUUAAGGACAACGACCACCGCGAUAAUUAAACCAGCGGCUAGUUUACGCGUGUGCCGCGUUCGGUAGGAAAACGGAAAGGUCACGGCCCACAGACGGUUAAGGCUGAUUAGCACGUGUAUGGUAACAAUGCAAGCGCUUGUUAUUUGUGCGCAGUAUAAAUUGAGCAGGCACAUAAAUUCGCCGAAAACCCAGCGGAAUCUUAGAUAGUUGCUGAUAUUGUUAACGCUGCUGGUGCUCGACUUAAUGAGA
This is a long non-coding RNA of Paramacrobiotus metropolitanus, 2032 nucleotides long. RefSeq lists it as uncharacterized. The record is from RefSeq and is a predicted model, not a curated record. Lineage: Eukaryota; Metazoa; Tardigrada; Eutardigrada; Parachela; Macrobiotidae. The transcript is spliced from 4 exons.